Molecule: unclassified non-coding RNA, 231 nt
Filed under: plant metagenome
Description: partial contains small subunit ribosomal RNA, internal transcribed spacer 1, and 5.8S ribosomal RNA
Source: RNAcentral
UCUCCGUUGGUGAACCAGCGGAGGGAUCAUUACAGAGUUGCAAAACUCCCAAGCCUUUGUGAACGUUACCUAUCCCGUUGCUUCGGCGGGCGGCCCGGGCCCCGCCCCCGGCGCCCCCCGGCCCCCCGUGGGCGCCCGCCGGAGGUAAACCAAACCCUUGAAUUGCAUGGCCUCUCUGAGUCUGCUGUACUGAAUAAGUCAAAACUUUCAACAACGGAUCUCUUGGUUCUG